This 469-nucleotide ribosomal RNA is filed under the name uncultured Lentisphaerota bacterium. RNAcentral's name for it is "bacterial SSU rRNA". It matches the Rfam family "Bacterial small subunit ribosomal RNA", at positions 920 to 1382 of the family's 1533-position model. Lineage: Bacteria; Pseudomonadati; Lentisphaerota. The record is from RNAcentral.
CCCGGCACAAGCGGAGGAGCAUGUGGCUUAAUUCGAUGCAACGCGAAGAACUUUACCAGGGCUUGACAUGUAACUGCAGGCCCGUGAAAGCGGGGCGGCCUUCGAGGGUGUUACACAGGUGCUGCAUGGCUGUCGUCAGUUCGUGCCGUGAGGUGUUGGGUUAAGUCCCGCAACGAACGCAACCCCUGUGUCCUGUUGCCACUCCCGGUGAUGAAUCGGGAAGCACUCUGGACAGACUGCCUGUACAAGCAGGAGGAAGUGGGGAUGACGUCAAGUCAGUAUGGCCCUUACGUCCUGGGCUGCACACGUGCUACAAUGGCCGGUACAGAGGGCUGCGAUACCGCGAGGUGGAGCUAAUCCCAAAAAACCGGCCCCAGUUCAGAUUGCAGGCUGCAACUCGCCUGCAUGAAGUUGGAUUCGCUAGUAACGGCGCAUCAGCUACGGCGCCGUGAAUACGUUCCCGGGCCUU